Hippocampus comes (tiger tail seahorse) is the source of this 291-nucleotide long non-coding RNA. RefSeq lists it as uncharacterized. The record is from RefSeq and is a predicted model, not a curated record. NCBI's taxonomy places the organism in Eukaryota, Metazoa, Chordata, Actinopteri, Syngnathiformes, Syngnathidae. The transcript has 2 exons.
CGAGGACUGAGGCUGGAUGAGCACCUGAGCCUGGCGCGGCGGCAGCGGAGGCGGGAGCGAUGCCACACUGCUGUGGUGAGAAAUCAAAUCAGAAGACAUCUUCCUCUCACAAUAAGAGUAACCUAAUUGUGGCCUUAAAAAAAAAAAGGAGGCACCGCAGGACUAUUUCCAUUUCAGCCACUGAUGUCAUCAUUUUAAAGAGGCAAAUUUUUUGUUUUAUUUUAUUUGCUGCUGGUGCACUUGGAAUAUCGCGCUCUGGGUACCAAUAAAGUUGAUCUUACCUUAUUUUGA